RNAcentral lists this ribosomal RNA (403 nucleotides) under uncultured bacterium. RNAcentral describes it as "partial 16S ribosomal RNA". It matches the Rfam family "Bacterial small subunit ribosomal RNA", at positions 30 to 526 of the family's 1533-position model. The record is from RNAcentral.
AUUGAACGCUGGCGGCAGGCUUAACACAUGCAAGUCGAACGCAGUGGGGACGGGUGAGUAACACGUGGGUAACCUCCCAUCAGAGGGGAUAACACUUGGAAACAGGUGCUAAACCGAUACUGAUAGAUGGACCCGCGGUGCCUUAGCUAGUUGGUGAGGUAACGGCUCACCAAGGCCACGAUGCAUAGCCGACCUGAGAGGGUGAUCGGCCACACUGGGAAUGAGACACGGCCCAGACUCCUACGGGCGGAAGCAGUGGGGAAUCUUCGGCAAUGGACGAAAGUCUGACCGAGCAACGCCGCGGGAGGGAAGAAGGUUUUCGGAUCGUAAAUCUCUGUUGUUAGAGAAGCGGUAUCUAACCAGAAAGCCACGGCUAACUACGUGCCAGCAGCCGCGGUAAUAC